RNAcentral lists this transfer RNA (74 nucleotides) under Oscillospiraceae bacterium OttesenSCG-928-F05. RNAcentral's name for it is "tRNA-Gly". It matches the Rfam family "tRNA". Rfam says of the family: Transfer RNA (tRNA) molecules are approximately 80 nucleotides in length. Their secondary structure includes four short double-helical elements and three loops (D, anti-codon, and T loops). Further hydrogen bonds mediate the characteristic L-shaped molecular structure. tRNAs have two regions of fundamental functional importance: the anti-codon, which is responsible for specific mRNA codon recognition, and the 3' end, to which the tRNAs corresponding amino acid is attached (by aminoacyl-tRNA synthetases). tRNAs cope with the degeneracy of the genetic code in two manners: having more than one tRNA (with a specific anti-codon) for a particular amino acid; and 'wobble' base-pairing, i.e. permitting non-standard base-pairing at the 3rd anti-codon position. RNAcentral also lists the same sequence under 1 other name. Lineage: Bacteria; Bacillati; Bacillota; Clostridia; Eubacteriales; Oscillospiraceae. The record is from RNAcentral.
GCGGGUGUAGUUCAAUGGUAGAAUUCCAGCCUUCCAAGCUGGCAGCGUGGGUUCGAUUCCCAUCACCCGCUCCA